GUGUUGUUUGAGGUUGCUCACCAGUGGUUCUGGCUAUAUGAGCAAACUGCAGGUGGCUCAUCCACAGCCCGUGAAGGGGCUACAAGCUGUAGUGCCAGUGGGAUCAGGGCAGCUGGGGAGGCUGGGCGGGGUAUGCCUGAGGGUAGAGGGGCCCCAGGGACUGAGCCGGUUACAGUGGCAGCGGCAGCAGUGACAGCAGCAGCCACAGUGGUGCCUGUCAUCUCGGUGGGGUCUAGUUUGUACCCGGGUCCAGGACUGGGGCAUGGCCACUCCCCUGGCCUGCACCCCUACACUGCUCUACAGCCCCACCUGCCCUGUAGCCCUCAGUAUCUCACUCACCCAGCUCACCCCGCCCACCCCAUGCCUCACAUGCCCCGGCCUGCCGUCUUCCCUGUGCCCAGCUCUGCAUACCCACAGGUGAGACCAACCAUUGCCCCCCCCCACCUGCUCUCCCCACCUUCCUUAUCCCAGACCUCCUUCCUAGCUCUUGCUCAGAGUUGAGGCCUUGGUCGGGUAUUGUGCGUGCGCGGGGGGCGGAGGGUUACCUCAGCUCCUGGGGUGGAGGGAGGCUCUCUGCCA
Molecule: small RNA, 579 nt
Filed under: Pongo abelii (Sumatran orangutan)
Lineage: Eukaryota; Metazoa; Chordata; Mammalia; Primates; Hominidae
Description: processed transcript
Source: RNAcentral